Molecule: transfer RNA, 85 nt
Filed under: Cordylochernes scorpioides
Lineage: Eukaryota; Metazoa; Arthropoda; Arachnida; Pseudoscorpiones; Chernetidae
Description: tRNA-Lys
Source: RNAcentral
UGCCCAAUGCGGGAAUUGAACCCGGGUCGUAGUGGUCAAAAACCAACAGUUUAGACCACCCUUCCACCGACAGCUUGCACCACGC